Molecule: long non-coding RNA, 2006 nt
Organism: Mus musculus (house mouse)
Lineage: Eukaryota; Metazoa; Chordata; Mammalia; Rodentia; Muridae
Product: predicted gene 16169
Exons: 3
Source: RefSeq, marked validated
AGACAACAAUUGGCAUUCAGGAUCUAAGGCACAGGAAAGUGAAAGAGAGGAAACAGCAGAUAAGAUCAUGUUGUCCUCUAAGAGGCUCCACCCAGCAGCUGACUCAGACAGAUGCAGAUACUCACAGCCAAACAGUGGAUGGAGCUUGGGGACUCUAAUGGAAGAACGGGAAGAAGGAUUGUGGGCCAAAAAGGGAAGAACACACUUUUAAAGACUUGGCCAUUUUAUCCUGCAUAUGGUGCUAGAAAAUGACACCAUGACCCAAGAAAUCCUGGGGAGUAACAACGGCCAUGUUAAUGAGCUUGACUUGAUCACGCAGCAUUGUGUAUGUGCCCCGAAACAUUAAAGUGGAUUCAUUUGCCAAUCAGGAACUUUAAUCAUUAGAAUAAUCAAGACAAACGUAGGAACAAACACAGAAAUGAGUAUUAUUUGGAAUAAAGCUCUCAUGGCUGUGCUCCAAUACCUAGCCUACAAGCUUCAAGUAUAAGUAUGCAUGUAACACAAAACUGGGCAAUCUCACACAGAUUAGUAUACACUUGAAUGUUUUUCUGGUAGAGUGAACUUUUUUUUUUUUUUUGGGUCAGUGUCUGGCCCUAUUUUUAAAAUCAGAACUCUAAUAAGUACCAUGAUUCCUCUCCCUUUGCCUCUCUAGAGGAAAAAAAUGCCACAGUUGCAGGUCUCUUCCAUGCCAGGGGUUAAAACAGGCUGGCUUUGUUCUGCUAAUCUUUUUCACACGUUGGUGUAUCUUGUGAAUCUUUAGUUCUGUAAGACAUGAUGGAGCUUAUAAAAUGUUUGCUAAACUAAAGAAAACAUCUUUCCUGAAUCUGUUCUUUUGGGAUAGGAGAAAAAAUGGAGGUCUCUAGAAAGCUAAUCUCGAUUUGGGCUAAUCUCCAUCAUCUUUGCCUUUGCCUCCCCUCAGUUCUAUGUUCCUCUUUCCUUUUUGCUCAGUCUUUACAUUCUCUGUUUUCCUAUUCAAAGUUUCUAAAGGCAGUGUUUCUUUCUGCUUUCAAACAUCAAAAUGUAUAAUAGUGCUUUCGUUUGCAUUGUGUUUAUAAAACAGGGCUCACUUCUCUUCGGUCUACAGUUGUAUAUGUCAAUGAACCUUUUUCGGUAUUACUUACUUUGUGUUACGUCAUCUAGAUCAGUAGGUGAAAUGCUUCAAGUGAUUGGCUUUUAAAUAAUUUCUUAUUGUGAUUCAUGUAUUAAAAUGUGAAUAAAAUGUAAAUUAAUUUCAUUUUGUACAAAAAACAAGAAGCAAAUUAUAUAUGUAUAAAGGCAUCUAAGUUCGUUUGAGGAGAUUUAUAUUGGUCAGAGAGCAUCAUUCUGGAGGGAAGUAUUUUGGGAUGAGAGUGUGAAAAUAUUAUCAAGGUUCUGCUUGAAAUGAUGAGCAUCCAGGAUGGCGUGCAGUUAUGAUAACAAUACUUCUCCUCAUUUUUUCCCUCAACUGGCAAUAUGUGCUUCUCGUUACCACAGCAACCCAAUCAAUUUCUGAUUACAAAUGCAUGCAGAGCAAUUUGGGCUGAGACUCGGGAAAAUGAAGAGCAUAUUUGUAGAGUUAGAGAAAAUUUGAAAUUAGCCUGUAUCACUCAUCUGAAAGGCUGCACUUGGUAUUAACAAUGAAGAUCAAGACUGAAAACUUAAAAGGGAGAGUUCUAGCGGAUGGUAAGCCAGAUUUUCUUGACAAAUCAUCAUGUCUUGCAAAGAUACAAAACAUUUUUCAGAACUGCUGUUGUUGGUGUGCAAUGGUAUUUAAUGCUAGCAGUUGAAAGCACAGAAGCAGAGAGAGAUGACGGCCCAGACAGCAACGUGGGGACAGCUAAUCACAGCACAGGCGACUUCAAUCGCCUGCUCAUGUGGAUUUAGACGUUAGUUCCCAAAUUGCAGCCUAAAGAUUUUAGAUAAAUACUUUCUUCUUAGUUUUUGAUUUUUUUAUAAACUUAACGAUUUUUUUAAACUCCCUUUUUAAAACUCACUAAUUGUAACAGAAAAUAAACACCAGUAAGAUC